Mytilus californianus (California mussel) is the source of this 1077-nucleotide long non-coding RNA. RefSeq lists it as uncharacterized. The record is from RefSeq and is a predicted model, not a curated record. Lineage: Eukaryota; Metazoa; Mollusca; Bivalvia; Mytilida; Mytilidae. The transcript is spliced from 2 exons.
GUUUAAACGUAGAUUUUUUUCUAGGGUGAUGCGUAAAUGUAUGUCCUUGAAUUGCAAUAUAAAUAAGCUUACCUGAUCAGAAUUGUGUGAAUACCAUUUUCUCUCUUGUUAUGCUAUAUGCCUGUGAUUACUGGCUUUAAAGAAAUGGUUAUCCUUAGAAUUAUGUUGAUUUUCGGCCUUGUCCUUCUGACAAAUGCGCAAUUAGACAACAUCAAACAGAUCGACAAACUAAAGAAAGGAAUUCUUGUAAAAGUCAACCAGGAUUCUACUAUCUUAAGCCGGAAAAGACGCCAUUAUUACGGAAACUGUCUGGAUAUCAAAACAUGGUACACUAAUGAUGGGAACGGAAACACUGUAUUUCUCGAUCGUCAAACUCCCGAUUGUGGAUUAACAGCUAUGAGGUCAUUCCACUUAGUUCGAAAUAAUGCUGGUAGCCAUGUGAGAUAUGAUGUAAGCUGUUGCAAUCUUCCACUGAAUUUUAAAUGUAGUACGGAAAUAUUGAAUACCCCAUUUAACAACGAUGGAAAUGGCAAAGUUGCUUUUUUAGAUCGCCAGUUUGUGUCUUGUCCACAUAAUGGAUUUAUUAAACGCUUCCAUUUAAAUCGUCAGCUACCCAGCAAAUAUCGAUACACUUAUUCGUGCUGCACCCCUGAAUCUACACAACGGCAUAAGAUGAACUGCUACUAUAAUCCCACCCCAAGUAGUCCUGCUGGUCAUGGAAAUAUGGUGUACCUUGACAAACAUAGACCAACCUGUCGACCCGGGUAUUUCCUAAAUAACUUUAGACUUGUUCAUCCAACUCUUACAACGAUGAGGUACAAUUACAGAUGUUGUGCCUUUCUUCCACAAUAAUCAUUGAGAAUAAAUGUGUACCUCUUCUGCAUUGCAGUGUCAGCUGUAUACUGUCCAUAUCUACUAUAUUUGGAUUUGCUUAGUAAUUUGAAUUGUCUUUGCAGAAAUAGGAUGUUUAGAUAUUUAAAUUGUGUUUUAAAAAAAUGUGUUAUGAAACAAUUCCUACGUUAUAAUACUUAAAUGAUAGAUGUACGAUCUGCUCUGAAUAAAUUGAUUUUAUAUUUU